GCAAAUGUGCGCAGGCGCCUAGGGGCUGAGGCGCGAUGGCAGGUGUCGGGGCUCGGCCUCUGCGGGCGAUGGGGCGGCAGGCCCUGCUGCUUCUCGCGCUGUGCGCCACAGGCGCCCAGGGGCUCUACUUCCACAUCGGCGAGACCGAGAAGCGCUGUUUCAUCGAGGAAAUCCCCGACGAGACCAUGAUGUGGGAUAAGCAGAAGGAGGUCUUCCUGCCCUCGACCCCUGGCCUGGGCAUGCACGUGGAAGUGAAGGACCCCGACGGCAAGGUGGUGCUGUCCCGGCAGUACGGCUCGGAGGGCCGCUUCACGUUCACCUCCCACACGCCCGGUGACCAUCAAAUCUGUCUGCACUCCAAUUCUACCAGGAUGGCUCUCUUCGCUGGUGGCAAACUGCGUGUGCAUCUCGACAUCCAGGUUGGGGAGCAUGCCAACAACUACCCUGAGAUUGCUGCAAAAGAUAAGCUGACGGAGCUACAGCUCCGCGCCCGCCAGUUGCUUGAUCAGGUGGAACAGAUUCAGAAGGAGCAGGAUUACCAAAGG
RNAcentral lists this small RNA (545 nucleotides) under Pan troglodytes (chimpanzee). RNAcentral's name for it is "processed transcript". Lineage: Eukaryota; Metazoa; Chordata; Mammalia; Primates; Hominidae. The record is from RNAcentral.